RNAcentral lists this ribosomal RNA (471 nucleotides) under uncultured Methanomethylovorans sp. RNAcentral's name for it is "bacterial SSU rRNA". It matches the Rfam family "Archaeal small subunit ribosomal RNA", at positions 871 to 1337 of the family's 1478-position model. Lineage: Archaea; Methanobacteriati; Methanobacteriota; Methanomicrobia; Methanosarcinales; Methanosarcinaceae. The record is from RNAcentral.
UUGACGGGGAGCACUACAACGGGUGAGCCUGCGGUUUAAUUGGACUCAACGCCGGAAAACUCACCGGGGGCGACAGCAAUAUGUAGGUCAAGCUAAAGACUUUACCAGAAUCGCUGAGAGGAGGUGCAUGGCCGUCGUCAGUUCGUACUGUGAAGCAUCCUGUUAAGUCAGGCAACGAGCGAGACCCGUGCCCACUGUUGCCAGCAUGUCCUUCGGGAUGAUGGGUACUCUGUGGGACCGCCGAUGCUAAAUCGGAGGAAGGUGCGGGCUACGGUAGGUCAGUAUGCCCCGAAUCUCCCGGGCUACACGCGGGCUACAAUGACUGGGACAAUGGGCUCCUACCCCGAAAGGGGAUGGUAAUCUCAUAAACCCAGCCUUAGUUCGGAUCGAGGGCUGUAACCCGCCCUCGUGAAGCUGGAAUCCGUAGUAAUCGCGUUUCAACAUAGCGCGGUGAAUACGUCCCUGCUCCUU